This 72-nucleotide transfer RNA is filed under the name Urostrophus gallardoi. Its description in RNAcentral is "tRNA-Trp". The record is from RNAcentral. Lineage: Eukaryota; Metazoa; Chordata; Lepidosauria; Squamata; Leiosauridae.
AGAAGCUUAGGAUAACACUAAAACCAGGGGCCUUCAAAGCCCCAAAUAGAGAUGAAAACACUCUAGCUUCUG